AUGUCGAAACCAGGCUGCAGUUACCCAUUACCUACAGCGAGAACAGCGGUCACUGAGCCAAACCUCAGCGCCCCCCGCGUCUCCGGGGUCUCCAGGUGCGCACUCGGCCCUGGGUUCCCGGGGGGGGGAGGGGGGCUGUCAGCACAGCCACCCCCCAGCCGGCCCGCGAGCCCAGCGGAGGUGACACCAAAGCCUGCACUGAGCGACCCGAGUGCACCAGGCACCGCGACACGCGUCAUUACCGCGGUGGGGCAGAAGCAACAGGUGCUUUACUCAGCAGAUCAGAAACGAACCUGUAAUUGUCCCCUCGACAGCGAAGCUCUGAGUCGCCCUGAAGACGGGCGGCCCUUGGAAACCCAGUCUGCACCCGGGAGCCGGGAGCUCCUCACCCAAACCCUUUCUACACGGGGCGAACCGGACGCCGGCUUAACCGCCCCGGCGGCUCUGCAACCCGAACGCCCCUGGGACCCGCGGAAAGCAGCCUCUUGGCAGCGCCGGCCGACCCGCGCCCUCCUCCGCGGCACCGGUUCGCGCCCGGGCCGGUUCCGUUCCUGGCCCUUCGGGGCGAGGACGAGCACGUCCAGCGGGAGGGAUCGCACGGAGCGUCUCGAGGAACAGUUCUCUCCGGCACAUCCCCAGCGCUCCGGGAGCCGAGGGCGGGAAGGGCUGCCCCGGAGCCGACCGCGUCCAUGUUCCCGCCGCCCGCCCGGGGAGAAGCCGCGUCCGCGCCAGGCCCCUCCGCGGCGCCGAGUUGCGCGAAGUUGUGUUGAGCACACGGCACUCGGGGCGGCGCGGGCCGGGCGCACAUCCGCGGGUCCCACUGACUCCGCCGCGCGGGCGGGGGGACGGGGCUUCCCAGGAGUCGCGCUGCCCGCGACCGACGCUCCCCGGAAAGGCCCGCGAAGCCCGGCGUCCGUCUCCCCGCAAACGCCCGGGGCGGCCGCGGCGCCGGUUCCUAAGCCAGGCCGCGCGGCUGCGGCGCGAUCCCGGGGCGCGUCCCUGCUCACGGGGAGCUCCCUUCUCGGCAGAGCCCGGCGGGCCCGGCGGUUACAUAAGGGGCGGCCCGGCCGGCGCGGCGGCUGCCCGAGGCCCGACCCGACUCCAGCGCGGACUCCCCGGCCAAGGCCGCCGACACCCGCAGCCCCACUCGGCCUCCCUCCGCCGCCCGGCCCGACCUCCCCGUCUCCCAGCGCGGCCUCCCCGUCCCCCCGGCCGCCCGGCCCGACCUCCCCGGGCUCCCCGCCCGCGGACAAUGCGGAGCCGCCGCCGCCGCCGCCGCCAAACAUGGCGUCGGCACCACAACCCCGAGAGGCCGGGCCGAGGCGGCGGCGGCAGAGGCCCGGGCGGCCGGCGAGGCGGUGGGAGGCCCUUCCCUGCCCCGUCGCCGCCCACUCACCUUCGGGGCGCCGCGGCCGCGGGAGCCCGGCGGGCGGGCGGGCGGGCGCGGGGGCCGGCGCGGCCGAGGCGGCGCUAAUGGCGCCCGCGGCUCCUCCGCCAACGGCCGCGCAGGCCGGGCCCCGCCGCCGCUCCUGGGCGCGGGCUCCUCUCGGCCGCGGCGACUCCGGGCCCGGCAGCGGCGGCCGCGGGCUCUCGGGCGGCGGCUCGCGCGGCGCGGGUUCGGGGCCCGGCUGGAGGCCCGGCUCGGGGGGCCCGGCCGGCGGGCGCGGGCGGCGGGCGCGGGGCGCGGGGCGCGGGGCUGGCUCGGACGCCCGGGCCGGGUCGCUCGCUCGCUCCCCAGCGAAGCAAACAAUGCGGCGAGCGCUCCGCCCGGCGCGCUGCGUGCUAGACGCGCCCCGCCCGCCGCCGCCAUGA
Callithrix jacchus (white-tufted-ear marmoset) is the source of this 1812-nucleotide long non-coding RNA. NCBI's taxonomy places the organism in Eukaryota, Metazoa, Chordata, Mammalia, Primates, Cebidae. The record is from Ensembl.